Molecule: long non-coding RNA, 413 nt
Filed under: Rosa chinensis
Lineage: Eukaryota; Viridiplantae; Streptophyta; Magnoliopsida; Rosales; Rosaceae
Description: sRNA RchiOBHm_Chr2g0148641
Source: RNAcentral
CCUGAUAGCCGAGGCCCCCUAAAACCUAAUUGACAAAUCCGAGCCUUCAACCCAUCCUUGGAGUGGAAUCGUCGAGGUCGCGAUAGAGCAUCGGUCGUGGUAAUCGAAUUCCGGCAAUCUGGUUUCGUAGUGAGUAUUAGAGUUUAGACAGAAGAUUGGAGGUGUGACGGGGAGGAAGAUUCCGAUGGCGGACGGGGAAAACUAAAUUGGGCACGGCGUGCGACAAACGAACCAAGUCUGAUCGGAUUAAGUCCAGUAAGCCGAUCAUCUUCAUUGCGAGAGCAGAGAGCUGGGUCAUCUUCAUGCCGCAAAGUGCUGCCGUCAGCUGCGCCUCACCUUGCCCGAUCGGAUCUCCACCUCCCGACAAGAGCAAGGGAUAGGGGCUAUGCCGACUGCGGAUAAGUAUUACAGAC